CAGUCUUUAGCUUAUUACGAUUAAAAUGUGUUAACUAAGAGUAGUUCUAUUUUAAUUAAAAUGCUACCUGCACUCCGCUAUUUACAAGUAUUCCUUUUGAAAAGAUGGGCUAAGGUCCCUUUGUCAAGCAGAGAGACUUAGUGGCGUAAAUAUAGCUCCAAAAAGGGCCAUUGAAAUAGCUAACAAAGGAUAAAUGGAACGAUUCCGAUCCACGGUUUAGCUCUUAAUGUUUU
Pelobates cultripes (western spadefoot toad) is the source of this 233-nucleotide non-coding RNA. NCBI's taxonomy places the organism in Eukaryota, Metazoa, Chordata, Amphibia, Anura, Pelobatidae. The record is from the annotation of a GenBank genome assembly.